AUGGUCGAAGGCUCGGAGAUGGACAUCUCCAACCUCAAGUUCCUCCUCCUCUGCUUCCAACAAAUGUCUGGCCUUAAGAUAAACUUCGACAAGAGUGAUGUAAUAGUGAUGGGCUAUUCUCCAGCUGAGUGUCUGGCCAUUGCCAACCGGCUUAACUGCCACCUGGGCUCCUUCCUCACGACCUACUUGGGAACACGCAUUAGUGACUCCCGGCUCUCCGUCGCGGACUUGCGCCCGACCGUGGCCAAGCUUCAAAUGCGCAUCGAGCCAUGGCAGGGUAGAUGCUUGUCAAAGGCGGCGUGGACAAUUCUCAUUAACUCAUCCCUCUCUAGCCUCCUCUUGUUCCUCAUGAGGUUCUACAGCCUUCACGAGACUCUGCACCAUGAGAUCGCCAAAGUCCAGUCUCGUUUCUAUUGGGCUGGCGACAACAAUAAGCAAAAAUACCAUAUGGUCAGUUGGCCUGACAUUUGCAAGCCCAAGGAACAAGGAGGCCUCGGUAUUAUGUGCUCUAAGCGCAUGAAUAUCGCCCUCCUAUCAUGAUGGCUCUGGCGCAUCUCGCAAGGUCACGGUGGCCUCUGGCUCGACAUCAUCCGGAACAAGUACCAACGUGGACAGCCCCUCGCCUUCUAUCAGAGAUCGGGCGGCUCCCAGUUUUGGCAGUCGGUCGUCCAACUUCUACCUGUUCUCCGCAUUGGGACCUCCAUCUGGGUGGGCUCCGGGGACGCUCCCUUCGCUGCGCGCUUCCCCGACCUCUUCUCCAUCGCUGUCGACCCUUUGAUCUCAGUUGAGAGGGCCCUUAUUGACUUAGGGUGCCUCGCUUUCCAGAGGCCAUUUGGGCCCCCGGAGUCUGCCGCGUGGCGUGAGUUACUGGAUUGCGUCGCUCUCCACGAGCCGAUUGUGGACGGUGGCCCAGACCAGGUGCGAUGA
Molecule: ribosomal RNA, 927 nt
Filed under: Triticum aestivum (bread wheat)
Lineage: Eukaryota; Viridiplantae; Streptophyta; Magnoliopsida; Poales; Poaceae
Description: partial small subunit ribosomal RNA
Source: RNAcentral